GAUGAACGCUGGCGGCGUGCCUAAUACAUGCAAGUCGAGCGAACGGACGAGAAGCUUGCUUCUCUGAUGUUAGCGGCGGACGGGUGAGUAACACGUGGAUAACCUACCUAUAAGACUGGGAUAACUUCGGGAAACCGGAGCUAAUACCGGAUAAUAUUUUGAACCGCAUGGUUCAAAAGUGAAAGACGGUCUUGCUGUCACUUAUAGAUGGAUCCGCGCUGCAUUAGCUAGUUGGUAAGGUAACGGCUUACCAAGGCAACGAUGCGUAGCCGACCUGAGAGGGUGAUCGGCCACACUGGAACUGAGACACGGUCCAGACUCCUACGGGAGGCAGCAGUAGGGAAUCUUCCGCAAUGGGCGAAAGCCUGACGGAGCAACGCCGCGUGAGGGAUGAAGGUCUUCGGAUCGUAAAACUCUGUUAUUAGGGAAGAACAUAUGUGUAAGUAACUGUGCACGUCUUGACGGUACCUAAUCAGAAAGCCACGGCUAACUACGUG
Molecule: ribosomal RNA, 497 nt
Filed under: uncultured bacterium
Lineage: Bacteria
Description: partial 16S ribosomal RNA
Rfam family: Bacterial small subunit ribosomal RNA
Source: RNAcentral